RNAcentral lists this transfer RNA (87 nucleotides) under Candidatus Rokuibacteriota bacterium. RNAcentral describes it as "tRNA-Leu". It matches the Rfam family "tRNA". Rfam says of the family: Transfer RNA (tRNA) molecules are approximately 80 nucleotides in length. Their secondary structure includes four short double-helical elements and three loops (D, anti-codon, and T loops). Further hydrogen bonds mediate the characteristic L-shaped molecular structure. tRNAs have two regions of fundamental functional importance: the anti-codon, which is responsible for specific mRNA codon recognition, and the 3' end, to which the tRNAs corresponding amino acid is attached (by aminoacyl-tRNA synthetases). tRNAs cope with the degeneracy of the genetic code in two manners: having more than one tRNA (with a specific anti-codon) for a particular amino acid; and 'wobble' base-pairing, i.e. permitting non-standard base-pairing at the 3rd anti-codon position. The record is from RNAcentral. Lineage: Bacteria; Candidatus Rokuibacteriota.
GCCGGGGUGGCGAAACUGGCAGACGCACGAGACUUAAAAUCUUGUGGCCGCAAGGCCGUGCGGGUUCGACUCCCGCCCCCGGCACCA